AUGACGCCGGCAGCAACCUUCCCACAAGCAGCGGCCAUGGCGUACUCGGCCUCCCUGCAGAGCUUCCUCCCGCCCUCGGCCCACGCGGCGACGUCGUCGUCCCAGCACCGGCCCAACCACGCCCGCCCCUUCCAGUGCGCGGCCGUUUCCGCCCCGUCGUCGGCGGCCGCCUCGCCGUCGGCCUCGGCCGUCCCGGCGGAGCGGCUGGAGCCGCGGGUGGUGCAGCGCUGCAACGGGAGGGCGGGUACUGGGUGCCUGACAAGCUCACCAAGCUGCCCAUGGAGCAGAUCGACGCCGACAAGCUCACCAAGCAGGACGUCGACGUGCGGCUCAAGUGGCUCGGCCUCUUCCACCGCCGCAAGCAGUAGUGUAUACCCCUGCUCUGUCAAGGUAUACUCUGAAUUCUGA
RNAcentral lists this ribosomal RNA (408 nucleotides) under Triticum aestivum (bread wheat). RNAcentral's name for it is "partial small subunit ribosomal RNA". Lineage: Eukaryota; Viridiplantae; Streptophyta; Magnoliopsida; Poales; Poaceae. The record is from RNAcentral.